CUGAAGUUCUGGUAACUCUCGAUUUGGUGGAGACGAGACACAAAUCGAUCCGUCUUCCGAACAACACGAUCCGAAACCCUGCAAUUUUUUUUAUUUUUUUUGAUAUUUUUAUUUUAGUUAGAGCACCAAAGGAGUAACCACAGAAAAUUUGAGCUUAAACCAGUGAAAGACAUGGCCUACGAAAAUUUCUGAAAAUUGUGAAAAAUGUGAAAAAAACAUCACGAGGUGAAAACUCAAACUUCAGUUGUGAAUUUGGAGGUCCUAAAAUUUUCAAACCAGCCAU
Molecule: long non-coding RNA, 283 nt
Filed under: Sorghum bicolor (sorghum)
Lineage: Eukaryota; Viridiplantae; Streptophyta; Magnoliopsida; Poales; Poaceae
Description: long non-coding RNA (SBIC_LNC012741)
Source: RNAcentral